CUUUAGUUGAACCGCCAUGAUUGAAUUACUGUUGAUAGUAAACGGGGAGAGGUAGAAAAAGAGUGGUGAAAAGAAAAGAUAAUGCCAAAGGGACGGUCCAAGCGGUCUCCCGGCUUGGGGGUAGAAGCUGUGCGGGUUCGUUUCGGUGAACAGACCUGAGGUACCAGACCCGAGGCACUGGUUCCACAUGCCCUGCCUGUCAUGUGGCGGUCCAACUGGCUAUUUUUAGAGGUUUCCGCUGACACCUCCAGCCUGAGAGGUCUUAAAUGGCAGGGAGCCACAUGCACCACCUUCUGGAGCGCCGUGCGAUGGAGUGAGGUGCAGAUGGCAUACCAGGCAGUGAUGCAGUGUGUCAAAACACCCUCAACACUGCAGCUGUAUAACAUUUUAGGAUCUGAGGCACGGGACAUAUCCAUUCUGGCUCCAAAAGGGUAAGAAGCUCAGAUGUUCUUCAUUAACAACCGUCUGGGUAUGUGAAAAGCUUCAGUGACUCGCGGGACACAUGAAGCUCUCGACCCGCUCCAGUUCGACUCCCGUCGACGUGGAUGAGGGCGUUCUCGCCCCUCUCCUUCCUGUUAUCCGCGAUCGGCAACAUCAACGAUCUGGUUGAGGUUAGCGGAGAGAUUGUUGUUCUGGUACAACACUUCCUAUUGGCCGUCGGCGAUCAUCAGGCCUCUGGAAAGUCGGGCCCACAGCCAACUUGACCGUGUCGGUGUCAUUUGUGUCCACGCCGUCGUGGUUGAUUAGGAAUUACUGGAGGGGAAUAAGCACACAUAGUAGAGGAGUAAAUAUUUUUAAAAACGCUAUGUUCAGUGUACCUGCAUACUGCCAUGAUUGUCAUCAUCCAGAUUAAACUGUUUACAGCCAUGUAAAAAAAAAUGUUUAUCAAACAACUGAAGUAAAUAGCCGGUCAAUUCUGCAACAACACAUGCCUUACCUGAACUUGACCACUAGGUGGAACCAUUAAACCAUGUAAUGAAAUGUCCAGCUACGUCGGCAGUGCACUUGCAGUUUUCACUCGUUCAGAUUUGUGUUGGGGUUCCAUCCGGGUUUUAUCGUUUUCUAAUGUCUCCACAGAUGACUCAUGGGCCUACUGCACAAGCCAAGUCUUUGGAGGCGUUAGAAAAGUCCUUAUUACUUAUUACCUAUGAUCAUUUGUUUUAAUUAUUUAGUUUAGUUAUUUCUGCUGCUGAACCUACCUACAGUACAUGAUCGACAGGAACCUAAAUGACCUUUGUUUCCUAGCACAUCAACUUGGC
Molecule: long non-coding RNA, 1259 nt
Organism: Esox lucius (northern pike)
Lineage: Eukaryota; Metazoa; Chordata; Actinopteri; Esociformes; Esocidae
Source: Ensembl